Malaclemys terrapin pileata is the source of this 872-nucleotide long non-coding RNA. RefSeq lists it as uncharacterized. The record is from RefSeq and is a predicted model, not a curated record. The transcript is spliced from 6 exons. Lineage: Eukaryota; Metazoa; Chordata; Testudines; Emydidae.
UUCAAAAUUUCACUCCACAGCCCAGCAUCAAUGCACAGAUUUCCAGACUCUGCUCUCCCAUGAAGUAGCAGUGUAACUACAUGCAGGGUGAAUAGCCGGCUGACCACAUCCUCGGAAGGGAAUUAUAUUGAGCCUCCUUUCACUCCCUCGCCUUUCCACGCUGGGGAUGGUAAAUUUCAGCAAGAAGGCUUUGCAAUGCAACAACAUUAUGGCACAAAAACAUUGCAUCACACUUGGUGAUACACUAUGAUGCAGCGACAUGACAUCACCUUACAUUGAUGCAAUGGUGUGAGCUCAGGUUCGCCUUGGCAUCUGCUUCCUGAGUCAGGUUCAACGACACAAGUUUGUCUACUUACCGUACUGGAUUUGAGCUCAUCCCCAUUUUCCUCUUCGGAUUCUAGUGCAACAGCUGUUGGGUCUCAAGUAGUCUCCGCCUCGUCCCUCCAGCAACAUCUGGAUGUCCCCACCCCUCUCUUCGUCCACCGAGACUUGUCUGGAGAAAUGGGCGCUCUUGGUCCUGCAGACCUAUUUGCACUCUGCACAGUGGGCUUCUCAGAGAAACCAACACCAUCACACAGGACCGCAAGAGGGAAAAUGUGACUUUGCCAUGCUUGGGCUAUGCUGCACACGAGAGAGACUCUGGCUCAAGAAGGCAGGUCGGGAAAGAAGUUAUAGUCAGGAAAUAGCGGAAGUCUGUUUGCUGUUUCUGAAGCAGUAUGGAACCAGACUCAAGCCAUCCCCCAGAUCCAAGUUGUCUCCCUGAAAGAUGUCUCCAAGCAGAGGUCACUUCCAGAGCAGAAUCUUUAGCCAGGUUCUUGGGAAUAUUAACCUGAGCCUGGAUAUGUGAUGUAGUAUGGUAACAUUUUAUUGUA